Molecule: long non-coding RNA, 1136 nt
Filed under: Ananas comosus (pineapple)
Lineage: Eukaryota; Viridiplantae; Streptophyta; Magnoliopsida; Poales; Bromeliaceae
Description: long non-coding RNA (ACOM_LNC034450)
Source: RNAcentral
UCCUUUUUCCUUUUUAUAGUCAACACCUCUCAAAACACUAUUACAAUUAGCAGUUUAGUUUUCAGAAUCUGAUACUUUUCGUCGGAGCCCUUCUGAAUGUCCGUUUGUGUUCAAAUUUGACAGUCAGGCUCGGUUUAACUUAAUAAGAACAAAAAAAUUUUAAUCUUUCAGUUUCGAUCAUUUUUGGUGACCGAAAGCUCUACCGACUAAAAAUCUCUAGCAGAUAGCAGUCCGAUUUUAUUUUUCACUUUCCGGGUGUCGGAAUGACAUGAAACUUUAAAUCUAAUCUCAUAAAAAUAAUCCCGACAUAUUCUCAGAUUUUCAUAAUUUUCGGACACUGUGAAUUUUCUGCUAAAAUAUCGGCCCCGUUCUUUAUAGAAAAUUUUAAAUCUUCUGUUUCCGUUCCGAUUUCAACACAAGUCAUUUCAAACUUAUAUUUUACUUCUUUAAGUCCAACAAAAAUAGUAUCUUAUACUAUUUUUAUUUACAUUUACCUUUAAAUUAAAAUUCAGCACAUUACACGAGGUGCCCCAAAGAGAGAUAUUUUGAUCUUUUAAUAUAUUUGUAAUUUAGUAAUUUUACCUCCACUAUAUUAUCAAAUCUCUUUUCUCUCUUUGUUUCCAUUUUCUCUUUCUAUCACUCCUUUUCAUCCACAGCAGGGAUGUAAAGGGUUCGGAUUCGGGCCGGAUUUUCAAAAAACGCGAGCCCGAAUCUGACUUUCAAACCCGAAACCCGAAUCGAAACCUAAAUCCGAAGAAUUUAAAAAAAUCAUAUCAACACCCCUCCCCAAGUUAAAAUUCGAAACCCGAACUCUAGCCUGAACCUGAAAAUUCGAACAAGAAAUAUUAUUCCUCUUUACAAUAUUUCAAAGUAUAUUAAAUUAAAUCUAAGUUUUGAAAAUACAUAUUCAAAUAUAACAUUAAACAUUUAUAUAUAAUAUAUAUAACGUAAAAUAAAUUUUGGUUCCGGUCAGUUUCAGGUUCGGAUCGAAUACAAUCAAAAUCCAUACCUGAAUUCAAAUCCAUCUGGUUUUCAUUUUUCAUAUCCAUAUCCGAAAAUAUAUCUAUCUAGCAUAGGUAAAUCAUUGCAUUCGCUUUCGGGUUUGGUUUAGGUUCAGAUAAAAUUAUUGUCUAAAU